GACCUAAGAUGGCGGCGUUUGCGCGGGGUGUAACCACUGCGUCCUUACGGGGGUUGCAAGGCGUCCGAAGUAUGAGUCCACUAACAAAAGUCCAGAAACUCGCCAGUUAAUAGUAUUGUGUCUCUUCAAAAUAUCGGAAAAUAAUUUCUUUCUCGCUGAUCGCCUAACUUCUACUGACGAGGCUAGGAAGUUGCAGAAGCUAGCUCCUAGGAGAGAUAUAUGGGUCGUUCUUUCCUUUUUCCUUAUUUAAAUGGGUUUUUAUUGACACCAUGUCGCGCCAAAAUGGAUUCCAUCUCCUCAGAGCUUUCCUAGGAACAGCCUAACCUCUUGGGCCUAACUUUAUUUUUUUUUGUUCUGCCUUUCAUGUCCAAACUUUUUAGUUUUAAUUAAUUUGUUUGUAACGUAUUCAUUAUGCACUAGAUUAAACAAUUUUUUUCUGUGCCCACUAUACCCCAAAUGUGGAGUUUUGGGCAAAAACUUAA
RNAcentral lists this long non-coding RNA (482 nucleotides) under Pongo abelii (Sumatran orangutan). RNAcentral describes it as "lincRNA". The stretch from base 1 to 121 matches the Rfam family "JPX transcript, XIST activator conserved region 1", at positions 15 to 135 of the family's 135-position model. The record is from RNAcentral. Lineage: Eukaryota; Metazoa; Chordata; Mammalia; Primates; Hominidae.